AAAAAAUGGAUGCCGGAUACCGUUAACAAUCACAAAAGAAGAAGAAGAAAAACCUGAAGAAGACGAGACGAACAUGGCGCGGUUUUUCUGUAGCACAGAUCCUGUUCCUCCACCGGAUGAGUGAUAACAAGACAUCCACGGCUCUGGAAUUCUUCCUUGAAGCUGCAAAGAAACAUGGCUUUCCAUCCAGAGUGAGAGUGGACCAAGGAGCUGAGAAUGUGAGCAUUUGAGACCGGCAUAGAAAGCUUCCCACCGAAAGGAUUGUUAAACCUUGAGGAAUAGAGACUGCUCGAUCCAACAGAGUCCACUCGCCCCUUCUGUGCCCAAGUAUGGGUUAUUUUGCCUCGAGUCCAAGCUGAGGGAACCAACCCUUCAAUCGGAACAGAAUGCAACUCCACCCCAAACCAGCUGUGGGAAGACUGUCCUGCCAGUCCUCCUGAGAUACUGAGGGGGACCAGUUUCCUGAUGUUGACAUGGAUCAUGCUGGAGUACAGUUUCUAGAACUGGUCUCUCCUCUGGACAGUGAAGAAUUGGAAGCCCUGACAUGUGGCCCCUUGCAUCUAAAUGUUCAACAACUGGAGAACAGAACCAGCCCUGUUUUAGUGUACUGCUGAAGUCCACACCACUCUAGUAACCAGAGAUGUUCACCGCCCAGUGGGCAAGUUGACCAAAGGUGAAGCUGUCAAGACAGAGUACUUCACAUGGAGAAGUCUUAACUGUGGACGUGUCCAGGUAUUCUCAAUGCA
Molecule: long non-coding RNA, 746 nt
Organism: Monopterus albus (swamp eel)
Lineage: Eukaryota; Metazoa; Chordata; Actinopteri; Synbranchiformes; Synbranchidae
Exons: 7
Source: RefSeq, a predicted model, not a curated record